This 468-nucleotide ribosomal RNA is filed under the name uncultured bacterium. Its description in RNAcentral is "partial 16S ribosomal RNA". It matches the Rfam family "Bacterial small subunit ribosomal RNA", at positions 28 to 507 of the family's 1533-position model. The record is from RNAcentral.
GACGAACGCUGGCGGCGUGCUUAACACAUGCAAGUCGAACGGAAAGGCCCUGCUUUUGUUGGGUGCUCGAUUGGCGAACGGGUGAGUAACACGUGAGUAACCUGCCCUUGACUUUGGGAUAACUUUAUGAAACUGGGGCUAAUACCGGAUAUGAGCUCCUGCUGCAUGGUGGGGGUUGGAAAGUUUCGGCGGUUGGGGAUGGACUCGCUGCUUAUGAGCUUGUUGGUGAGGUAGUGUCUUACCAAGGCUUUGACGGGUAGCCUGCCUGAGAGGGUUAACGGCCACAUUGGGACUGAGAUACGGCGCAGAAGCCUACCGGAGGCAGCAGUGGGGAAUAUUGCACAAUGGGCGGAAGCCUGAUGCAGAAACGCCGCGUGCGGGAUGACGGCCUUCGGGUUGUAAACAGAUUUCGCAUGUGACGAAGCGUGAGUGACGGUAAUGAGUAAAGAAGCACCGGCUAACUACGUG